RNAcentral lists this ribosomal RNA (199 nucleotides) under Vibrio cholerae. RNAcentral describes it as "partial 23S ribosomal RNA". The stretch from base 1 to 177 matches the Rfam family "Bacterial large subunit ribosomal RNA", at positions 2754 to 2925 of the family's 2925-position model. Lineage: Bacteria; Pseudomonadati; Pseudomonadota; Gammaproteobacteria; Vibrionales; Vibrionaceae. The record is from RNAcentral.
UUCGGAAUUGAUAAGCGCUGAAAGCAUCUAAGCGCGAAGCGAGCCCUGAGAUGAGUCUUCCCUGACAGUUUAACUGUCCUAAAGGGUUGUUCGAGACUAGAACGUUGAUAGGCAGGGUGUGUAAGCGUUGUGAGGCGUUGAGCUAACCUGUACUAAUUGCCCGUGAGGCUUAACCAUACAACACCCAAGGGGUUUUGUA